Molecule: ribosomal RNA, 420 nt
Filed under: uncultured bacterium
Lineage: Bacteria
Description: bacterial SSU rRNA
Rfam family: Bacterial small subunit ribosomal RNA
Source: RNAcentral
CGUGUCGUGAGAUGUUGGGUUAAGUCCCGCAACGAGCGCAACCCUUGAUCUUAGUUGCCAGCAUUCAGUUGGGCACUCUAAGGUGACUGCCGGUGACAAACCGGAGGAAGGUGGGGAUGACGUCGAAUCAUCAUGCCCCUUAUGACCUGGGCUACACACGUGCUACAAUGGACAGAACAAAGGGCAGCGAAACCGCGAGGUUAAGCCAAUCCCACAAGUCUGUUCUCAGUUCGGAUCGCAGUCUGCAACUCGACUGCGUGAAGCUGGAAUCGCUAGUAAUCGCGGAUCAGCAUGCCGCGGUGAAUACGUUCCCGGGCCUUGUACACACCGCCCGUCACACCACGAGAGUUUGUAACACCCGAAGUCGGUGAGGUAACCUUUUAGGAGCCAGCCGCCGAAGGUGGGACAGAUGAUUGGGGU